AGUGAACGCUGGCGGUAGGCCUAACACAUGCAAGUCGAACGGCAGCACAGUAAGAGCUUGCUCUUACGGGUGGCGAGUGGCGGACGGGUGAGGAAUACAUCGGAAUCUACUUUUUCGUGGGGGAUAACGUAGGGAAACUUACGCUAAUACCGCAUACGACCUACGGGUGAAAGCAGGGGAUCUUCGGACCUUGCGCGAUUGAAUGAGCCGAUGUCGGAUUAGGUAGUUGGCGGGGUAAAGGCCCACCAAGGCGACGAUCCGUAGCUGGUCUGAGAGGAUGAUUAGCCAAACUUGAACUUAGACACGGUCCAAACUCCUACGGGGAGCAGCAGUUGGGAAUAUUGGACAAUGGGCGCAAGCCUGAUCCAGCCAUACCGCGUGGGUGAAGAAGGCCUUCGGGUUGUAAAGCCCUUUUGUUGGGAAAGAAAAGCAGCAGGUUAAUACCCCGCUGUUCUGACGGUACCCAAAGAAUAAGCACCGGCUAACUUCGUG
This 492-nucleotide ribosomal RNA is filed under the name uncultured bacterium. RNAcentral describes it as "partial 16S ribosomal RNA". It matches the Rfam family "Bacterial small subunit ribosomal RNA", at positions 29 to 507 of the family's 1533-position model. The record is from RNAcentral.